Molecule: ribosomal RNA, 429 nt
Filed under: Chloroflexota bacterium
Lineage: Bacteria; Bacillati; Chloroflexota
Description: Chloroflexi bacterium partial 16S ribosomal RNA
Rfam family: Bacterial small subunit ribosomal RNA
Source: RNAcentral
UGGGGAAUAUUGCACAAUGGGCGCAAGCCUGAUGCAGCCAUGCCGCGUGUAUGAAGAAGGCCUUCGGGUUGUAAAGUACUUUCAGCGGGGAGGAAGGGAAUAAAGUUAAUACCUUUGCUCAUUGACGUUACCCGCAGAAGAAGCACCGGCUAACUCCGUGCCAGCAGCCGCGGUAAUACGGAGGGUGCAAGCGUUAAUCGGAAUUACUGGGCGUAAAGCGCACGCAGGCGGUUUGUUAAGUCAGAUGUGAAAUCCCCGGGCUCAACCUGGGAACUGAAUCUGAGACUGGCAAGCUUGAGUCUCGUAGAGGGGGGUAGAAUUCCAGGUGUAGCGGUGAAAUGCGUAGAGAUCUGGAGGAAUACCGGUGGCGAAGGCGGCCCCCUGGACGAAGACUGACGCUCAGGUGCGAAAGCGUGGGGAGCAAACAGG